Molecule: long non-coding RNA, 543 nt
Organism: Oreochromis aureus
Lineage: Eukaryota; Metazoa; Chordata; Actinopteri; Cichliformes; Cichlidae
Source: Ensembl
UGUGUUGAUAAACAUAUGGCGAGCAAAACCACUCCUAGUUGAACAUUCGUCAUUUUGCACAUUUGUUUUUUUCUUUGUAACCUGGCCAGAUGGUUUACGAUGCUCUCAGAUGCUGCUUCUCUCUAAUGUGGAGGCUGGAUCAGACGGACCUUUUUAUACCAGCUGCAGAGGAACCUAAAGGGACAACGCUCCCUGCAGAGGCACCAGAUGUGCGCUGUUAUGGAGAGUGGGGGGGGGCAUCAGAUAAGCCCUGUUCCCAAAGCCGGGACGGAUCGAGUAUCAUCAUCGGGGGCGAAACCCAAGCCCUGCGCAGUGGGUCGGAUUUCUGUUUACACGAGCGUGGUCCCUGGAUUCCUCAAACCAGAGCAGACCAGAGAGCUCGGCGACACCGUGAGGUCUGCGAGACAGACGCUUUCAAUGAUGCAGAAAAGCAAUGGAAACCCACCUUCCUGCUGUAGGCCAUACUGCAUACUGUUAACAUGUUAAUAAUGGACAAAAUGAGGAGAAUUGUAGUAAAAGUUAUAAAAUAAAAGUUGUUACGGC